RNAcentral lists this ribosomal RNA (777 nucleotides) under uncultured Neocallimastigales. Its description in RNAcentral is "partial large subunit ribosomal RNA". It matches the Rfam family "Eukaryotic large subunit ribosomal RNA", at positions 24 to 643 of the family's 3401-position model. Lineage: Eukaryota; Fungi; Neocallimastigomycota; Neocallimastigomycetes; Neocallimastigales. The record is from RNAcentral.
UACGACUACAUAUCAGGCAUAUCAAUAAGCGGAGGAAAAGAAACUAACUAGGAUUCCCUCAGUAACGGCGAGUGAAGCGGGAAGAGCUCAAAUUUGAAAUCUUCAAGGUUUUACCUUGACGAAUUGUAGUUUAAAGAAGUGUUUUCGGUUAGAGGAGUUUAGUAAAAGUUCUUUGGAAUAGGACAUCAUAGAGGGUGAGAAUCCCGUAUUUGACCUAUUAUUUCCUAGCUUUGUGAUACACUUUCAAAGAGUCGGAUUGUUUGGGAAUGCAGUCCAAAAUGGGUGGUAAAUUUCAUCUAAAGCUAAAUAUUGGCGAGAGACCGAUAGCGAACAAGUACCGUGAGGGAAAGAUGAAAAGAACUUUGAAAAGAGAGUUAAACAGUACGUGAAAUUGUCAAAAGGGAAGCGUUUGACACCAGUGUUGUUUCUACGAAAAUCAAUUUAUGAUGGCUUGAUGCUAAGCUUUAAGACUUUAUCCGCUUGUUGUUUAGUUUUCUUGUCUUUGUGAAUGCACUUUUCGUGGAACAAGUCAACAUCAAUUUCUUUUGCUGUAAAAGGGUAAGAGGAAGGUGGCUUCGGCUUCGGUUGAAGUGUUUAUAGCCUUUUAUCUCUGCAGUCGGAGAGAUUGAGGUCUGCAGCGUAGACUCUUCGGGGUUAGAUACGUCGGUGCUAAGCUAUAGCUUUUCAUAGACAACUUGUUGACUAUGUUUAGUCAUGUGGCUUACCCGCUGGCGCUAUUUUACCUACGCUUAGGAUGUUGACACACGCGCGUGCUCG